This 429-nucleotide ribosomal RNA is filed under the name Bacteroidota bacterium. RNAcentral describes it as "Bacteroidetes bacterium partial 16S ribosomal RNA". It matches the Rfam family "Bacterial small subunit ribosomal RNA", at positions 355 to 776 of the family's 1533-position model. Lineage: Bacteria; Pseudomonadati; Bacteroidota. The record is from RNAcentral.
UAGGGAAUCUUCGGCAAUGGGGGGAACCCUGACCGAGCAACGCCGCGUGAGUGAAGAAGGUUUUCGGAUCGUAAAGCUCUGUUGUUAAGGAAGAACGAGUGUGAGAAUGGAAAGUUCAUGCUGUGACGGUACUUAACCAGAAAGGGACGGCUAACUACGUGCCAGCAGCCGCGGUAAUACGUAGGUCCCGAGCGUUGUCCGGAUUUAUUGGGCGUAAAGCGAGCGCAGGCGGUUAGAAAAGUCUGAAGUGAAAGGCAGUGGCUCAACCAUUGUAGGCUUUGGAAACUGUUUAACUUGAGUGCAGAAGGGGAGAGUGGAAUUCCAUGUGUAGCGGUGAAAUGCGUAGAUAUAUGGAGGAACACCGGUUGCGAAAGCGGCUCUCUGGUCUGUAACUGACGCUGAGGCUAGAAAGCGUGGGGAGCGAACAGG